Molecule: long non-coding RNA, 2014 nt
Organism: Glossina fuscipes
Lineage: Eukaryota; Metazoa; Arthropoda; Insecta; Diptera; Glossinidae
Exons: 4
Source: RefSeq, a predicted model, not a curated record
GAUUACAAUAAAAAGAAGCGUACAUUUGAAUCUGCUGGAGUUGCCAAGGAUUUUCUCCCAGUUAAUUGCAUGGAAUCGAUAACGCGUAAAAUUUCACUGUUAAAAAAGGAAAAUAUAUAAUAUAUACGUACCUGAUCGCUCGUAAGGUGGUUUUACUUGUCACUUCGAGGCAAGCAGGUGUAAAGCGUCGCGUGCGAAAACUUAUUUGUGAAACGAGGUUGUAAAUGUUCAGACUAAGGCGAUAUGUCAAACAUCGUUUCAGAUAUUUCAGUCGGCGAUUGGGGUGAUCACGAUAUUUUGCCACACGCUGGAGAAUAGCCUACAUGCAACAGCUUUGCAAACGCAAGGGACCUUGGAAUCCACUACUGGCCCCUGCGGAACGCUUUAAACAACUUUAAGUACAAAAGAACUUUCCCGCCAACCUAAUAUAUCUCGACACCAAUUAAAAAGUCAUUAAAUUCCGAUAUUGCCCCCACUCCUAGCAAAAAGCCAUUGCUGGAUUUAUAAACAGAUGACAAUUUGAAAAAUAUUCUUUAAAAUCGAACUCUAUUAUUACGUUUUUUAAACUUUGAUCGUAAUGAAGCUUGUAGCUGCAUCAUUCACAUAAAAGUAGCUGUUAAUAUGUUCUGCGAGGACCCAAAGUCGUCCCUCGUUUUGGCCUCACGGGUUCACGCUCUCUGGUCGGGGAGAGACGGAGUGCUAGAGAGGCGAAAGAGAAAAGGAAGAGAAAGAAAGUGACAACUACCCCACGUUAACAAGUAUACACGCACACAGGAGGCUUGGCGUCAGUCGUAUACCAACGACAACAACAAUCACCCCAGGAACAAGGAGGGGGCCGAAAAACCUAGCGGAUGAAACAAAAAAAAAACCUUUGAUUUACAACAAUAACAGAAACAAGUAUUAACGUUUUAUUUCUUCCAGGUACCUAAGGAGUUCACAAAUAAAAAAAAGAAAAGGAAAAGGGUAAUAUACCAGGGUUGACAGCGACAAUAGCAGCAGCAACACCCCCAAUAGCCCCAUCGCCAUUCCGCUGAUUAACAACAGUCAUAACAGCAAUAGGUAACAACUAGUACAACACCAACAGCAAGUACAGUUAAAGGCAGGUCCGGUGCACUUAAGCCAACCGACAACUGCCAACCAACCUUCAACGUAUGACCACCCCCACGGGCAGCAGCAACAACGAGAGGUAUCACCACCACUAAAACAGGGUGUGAGAGUUCAGGUCAGUAAGCAACAUAUAGAAAAAGAAAAACGUGGAAUUUAUAUUGAGAGUUUACCCGACCAACAGCAACAAGUACAUUCCCUAGGAGUGAAGCUUAGAUAGACAAAAAAAGGGGAAAAGGAAACUCUAAAAGAAAUUUUAACAAGCGAUAGUGAAGUACUUUUACUUCUUUUAAUAUAGAUGAAAUUACACCCAACCCGAAACCUCAAAUACUACCGCGAUCCGCGCGAAAUAAUAUCAUUAUAAUAGGAGUAGAUCCAAUAAUCCGAAAAAGCUAGUAGGAUAGGAACGCUCGAGAGUUACGGGAAAAUUAUUAGUAAAGCCAAGAAAAGAAAAUAUUUUAAUUGAGAAAUUCGGGAAAUAGAAACUAACUAAUUAUUGCAAAAAGUGAAAUUUUUUUACGAAAAUAUGAAGUGUCUUUAUUUUGUUGCUCUUAUUUCCGUACGUCAUUUGUAAGAGUGUUCAUCGGCACAACGUAUAGGUCUUGCCAUGGCAACCACAUUUCUAAACGGGCUAUUCAGUUGAAAAAAAAAAGCAACUGAAUAUUAACGAUCGAACAGCACAAUUCUGAGUUAUUGUGAAGGUUGUGAAAUCCAAAAGUCUAACAAAAAUAAAACGACCACGCUAAGUUAUAAAAUAAAUGAAAUAAUCGUAAUACUGUGAGAAACCAAUGUGAUUUAAUGAUGUAUAGUGGGCUAAACAAGAAAUAGCAUCGAUUAAUGACAAAAUUUUAAUUUGAAGAAGGAAAAGCAAAAACCCUAAACGUCCGUGAAGCUAUGCAGUCAAAAUUCU